This 285-nucleotide long non-coding RNA is filed under the name Vigna radiata. RNAcentral's name for it is "long non-coding RNA (VRAD_LNC002381)". The record is from RNAcentral. Lineage: Eukaryota; Viridiplantae; Streptophyta; Magnoliopsida; Fabales; Fabaceae.
CCCGAUUCGAUUAGUUGUAACGCAACUUCGACUUUUUUUAACUAAGCAUCAUUAACACAAAAAUAGAAUGAAAUUCAUAUUCCAAAAAGAUGAAGGGAUAUACAUCAAAUGUGAGCGACCGACCACUGGGAGAAUACCUAUGUUAAAUCCUAGGUCACCAUUAUUUCAAAAAACAAAAAACCACUAUUCCAAAAAACAAAAAAUGAUCCACCCUCUGUAUGGCUAUCAGCUAGUUAUCAUCAACAGCAUCUUCCUCGUCCACGAGACCUUCCUCGUCGGCUGCCC